This 72-nucleotide transfer RNA is filed under the name Sphingobium wenxiniae LL03. RNAcentral describes it as "Sphingobium sp. LL03 tRNA". It matches the Rfam family "tRNA". Rfam says of the family: Transfer RNA (tRNA) molecules are approximately 80 nucleotides in length. The record is from Rfam by way of RNAcentral. Lineage: Bacteria; Pseudomonadati; Pseudomonadota; Alphaproteobacteria; Sphingomonadales; Sphingobiaceae.
GGGCGAUUAGCUCAGUGGUAGAGCGUCUCGUUUACACCGAGAAUGUCGGCGGUUCGAGCCCGUCAUCGCCCA